This is a non-coding RNA of Paramuricea clavata, 547 nucleotides long. NCBI's taxonomy places the organism in Eukaryota, Metazoa, Cnidaria, Anthozoa, Malacalcyonacea, Plexauridae. The record is from the annotation of a GenBank genome assembly.
AACCUUAGACCUUGUCGACGGUGCUAUGUGUUUCCUUGUCUGCCGGUCUUUUAUUCCAUCCAAAAGACGAAUAAGCAUAAUAUUUCCUGGUAACUCGUUCACAUUCUCAGUGACAAGACGGCGACAUUCAGGACAACGUAGCUCUUGCCUCGAAGCUACGAUAGCUUUUAAACAGCCUUUACAAAACGUAUGUUGACAGGGUAAAACCUUGCAUGUCUCAUCCAAACGUUCAAGACAUACAGAACAAUCAAGUCCUUCGAUAAUUGCCAAAGCAUCCAUAGCUACUGCCACUAAAUAUGCUUGCUUAAUAGUUAAUACUGGUCAGAUGGCAGAUGCAGAGCAUUAUCUAUAUAACAUAGACAGCACUCAAGCCGAUUUCCUGGCUGAGUAAAAAGCUAUAGAGAAUCGCCGACAAUCAUACUAAAGAAUAAAACGUUGUUCAUGUAACAAUUCUCCUUCAAUUGGCUGGAAACUGCAACAACCAAAUCUACAAAUUAUGUAGCACUGUGUGACUGUGUGCAACAACAUUAGCAGUGCUACAAAUGUG